AAAUGUAGUGUAAUGGAAUGAAGAAAGAACAAAGUAAGAGUGAAGAAAGACAAAUGGUGAGAAGUCAAUGCGUGCUUUCUUCACUCGUUUCUUUGCUCUUUUCUUCACACCAUUCCCGUUGUGAUGUGAGAAAGAGAAGUGAAAGGAAGAAAGUGAAGAGAGCGUGCACU
Molecule: non-coding RNA, 170 nt
Filed under: Symbiodinium sp. clade D
Lineage: Eukaryota; Dinophyceae; Suessiales; Symbiodiniaceae
Source: RNAcentral